CACGCCCCUUCUUAAUCUCUAAACGCGACGCGCCCUGAGUUUGUGCUGUUAGUACAAAGAAACAACUGCUUAUUUGUAUGCACAUAUCUAUUUUACGUCACAGCGGAGGACAUGGACCUAACCGGAAUAGGUGACCAUAUUGCAGCUAAUGGCAGGGUCUGACUCUCUAUGUAGUGUUGAGAAGGGCUUCUACGAUGGUGUCUUCCUGGAGGAAGACGAUGACGUCAUCCUUCGUCAAACAUGUCCAUACAAAGACCAAUCAUCUGUUCACCAACUAAUUUUAUGCCUUACACAACUCAGCACAUAUAUUCUGCCCUCUCUAUAGAUUAUGCUGAUGCCCCACCGUAAGAACCUGUAGCUCUUUACUGGUUCUGUGGGAGGUGACGUGGCCACAAAUCAGUGCCUGGGACACCUUACAGUGCUACCACUGUCUGAACAACAGCCAAAGGGUGGUCAAGACAUCUACUGCAACUUCAUCUUUAGUGUGUCUGCUCUGCUGCACCUGGGAGAUAAAGAUGGCUCUGGCUUGCUGAUGACAUCUGAUCUGAUCUGACUCCUUGCAAUUUGACUCCUGUAUUACUGACUAUAUUAAAUAAAACUUCCAAUGCC
Oncorhynchus tshawytscha (Chinook salmon) is the source of this 609-nucleotide long non-coding RNA. The record is from Ensembl. NCBI's taxonomy places the organism in Eukaryota, Metazoa, Chordata, Actinopteri, Salmoniformes, Salmonidae.